Non-coding RNA from Paramuricea clavata, 238 nucleotides. NCBI's taxonomy places the organism in Eukaryota, Metazoa, Cnidaria, Anthozoa, Malacalcyonacea, Plexauridae. The record is from the annotation of a GenBank genome assembly.
GAGCAGAAGAAGAUUCUCAAAACAGGCAGUGUAGGUCAUAGAUGGAUUUUCAUAUUUAUUACUGGGGUGGUGCCAGAAAUUUUAGGGGGGUGAGCCGUUAGCAGGUGACUGAAGCAACACAAAGUGUCACCAAACCCCAGUAAGGUCUAUAUUCUAGGGGUGGAGCACUAGAGCUGCGAGGGGGAGUCUAGAGAGCAGAAAACAAAGUAUCCCAGGAAAAAUUUGAAAAAAAAACAUG